AUUGAACGCUGGCGGCAUGCUUUACACAUGCAAGUCGAACGGCAGCGCGGGCUUCGGCCUGGCGGCGAGUGGCGAACGGGUGAGUAAUGCAUCGGAACGUGCCCAGUAGUGGGGGAUAGCCCGGCGAAAGCCGGAUUAAUACCGCAUACGACCUGAGGGUGAAAGCGGGGGACCGAAAGGCCUCGCGCUAUUGGAGCGGCCGAUGUCGGAUUAGCUAGUUGGUGGGGUAAAGGCUUACCAAGGCGACGAUCCGUAGCUGGUCUGAGAGGACGACCAGCCACACUGGGACUGAGACCCGGCCGAGACCCCUACGGGAGGCAGCAGGGGGGAAUUUUGAAAAAUGGGGGCAACCCUGAUCCAGCCAGGCCGGGGGGGGGAAGAAGGCCUUCGGGUUGAAAACCGCUUUUGUUCGGAAAAAAAUCCUCUGGGCUAAUACCCCGGGGGGAUGGCGGUACCGGAAGAAAAAGCACCGGCUAACUACGG
RNAcentral lists this ribosomal RNA (483 nucleotides) under uncultured bacterium. Its description in RNAcentral is "partial 16S ribosomal RNA". It matches the Rfam family "Bacterial small subunit ribosomal RNA", at positions 29 to 506 of the family's 1533-position model. The record is from RNAcentral.